AUCCAGAUUAUGAGUCCAAAAUAGGACGAAAUGUGUAUCCUGACUGGAU
Molecule: non-coding RNA, 49 nt
Filed under: Trichobilharzia regenti
Lineage: Eukaryota; Metazoa; Platyhelminthes; Trematoda; Strigeidida; Schistosomatidae
Source: RNAcentral